Molecule: non-coding RNA, 97 nt
Filed under: uncultured Florenciella
Lineage: Eukaryota; Dictyochophyceae; Florenciellales
Source: RNAcentral
UCAGCGUCGGCGGCCACGGCGAUCAUUUGUUCGGAGGGGGGCGGCGGCGGUGGCAGCGGCUUCGGGAGGGUGGUAUGGCUCCACUGAGGGUUGGAAC